Cavia porcellus (domestic guinea pig) is the source of this 431-nucleotide long non-coding RNA. RefSeq lists it as uncharacterized. The transcript has 3 exons. Lineage: Eukaryota; Metazoa; Chordata; Mammalia; Rodentia; Caviidae. The record is from RefSeq and is a predicted model, not a curated record.
AUGGUAUCAAGGUUUCCUGCCCCAAGGAUCCAACUCUCCUCCUCAAAACCACCUGGGCACACAGAGCUCAGUAUCAGCAUCGGACCUCUGGGUGUCCCCUGGCCUCAACUUGCUCCUGGUCAUGAUACUCCCUCAGGUUAGGAAACCCGGGCCUGCUGCUCCCUGUUGCUCCUUGGUUGCAUGGUGAGUGGCUCUGCUUGGCUCCUGCUCUGACCUGACUGGGGAGGAAAACCGAAGCACCAACUGACCAUGACCUUCAAACCUCCAGAACUAGGAGAUAAAAUCAAACUUUUGCUUCACAAAACUUGAUCAGUUUUAUACUGUGUUGUUUUGUAUGAAUUCUCUGUAUGCGAAGACAUGGACAACUAUUUGGAAGAAAACAAGAGACAAUAUGAUAAAUAGUAAAGAUCUCAGGACAUCUAUCUUUGAAA